This 448-nucleotide ribosomal RNA is filed under the name uncultured bacterium. RNAcentral's name for it is "bacterial SSU rRNA". It matches the Rfam family "Bacterial small subunit ribosomal RNA", at positions 29 to 523 of the family's 1533-position model. The record is from RNAcentral.
AACGAACGCUGGCGGCAUGCCUAACACAUGCAAGUCGAACGAGACCUUCGGGUCUAGUGGCGCACGGGUGCGUAAUGCGUGGGAAUCUGCCCUUGGGUUCGGAAUAACAGUUAGAAAUGACUGCUAAUACCGGAUGAUGUCUUCGGACCAAAGAUUUAUCGCCCAGGGAUGAGCCCGCGUAGGAUUAGCUAGUUGGUGGGGUAAAGGCCUACCAAGGCGACGAUCCUUAGCUGGUCUGAGAGGAUGAUCAGCCACACUGGGACUGAGACACGGCCCAGACUCCUACGGGAGGCAGCAGUGGGGAAUAUUGGACAAUGGCGAAAGCCUGAUCCAGCAAUGCCGCGUGAGUGAUGAAGGCCUUAGGGUUGUAAAGCUCUUUUACCCGGGAUGAUAAUGACAGUACCGGGAGAAUAAGCCCCGGCUAACUCCGUGCCAGCAGCCGCGGUAA